Molecule: long non-coding RNA, 2287 nt
Filed under: Salmo salar (Atlantic salmon)
Lineage: Eukaryota; Metazoa; Chordata; Actinopteri; Salmoniformes; Salmonidae
Description: lncRNA (ENSSSAG00000089441.1)
Source: RNAcentral
AGUUGAAGAGCUGUUGUGGGUAACUAUGACUACAGAACUCUCAGCAGAUGGGGAUGUUAAGACAUGAUUCAAUCUAAUUCAGGGCCCCUGAUACCCCUCAGGUCAAGGACAAAUCUACAGUUUUAUACAGCACAAUCACUGAAUGGAAUUCUUUACUAACUCACAUUUUUCAUGCAAAAAGUAAAUCCACCUUCAAGAAAACAAUAAAAGUACAUCUAAUGUGAUCGACCAUAUUACUGCACAGAGACUAGAGAGCAUCUACUGAAUGUUAAAUGUAUUACCUGUCAGGUAUUUGAAUUGUCUGUAAUGUCUAAUUGUUAAAUGUUUGUAACGUCUUAAUGACAAUUCUAAUUGUUUGUAAUGUCUUUUUAGUUCUGUGUUGGACCCCAGGAAGAUUAGCUGACGUUAUGGUGUCAACUAAUGGGGAUCCCAGAGUCAAAUUGAGGGUUGAUCUCUGAGGACAUGUUUUUGCCUUAGGAGAGGGUCAAACAAUGUGUACUAUUAGCUCUGGAUCAAGUCAGAGGGUUAUUGAAGCAGUUUACAAACGAUGAAUCAUAAUUGUUACUGCAGGCGUAUGCAAAAUCAUUUAGUUUAACAAUUUGGAAUGGACAGUUCUUGCAUUAUUGCAGACUAGGGCCACGUCCUCGGCUUUCCAAGUAUUGACCGCACUGCGGUUUUAUGGAUAACAAAUAAAACAGACAUUGGAGCUGACAGCCUUCAGCGGGACUCCACUUCUUAUUUAUCACCUACAAGUUCUCCAGAAGGGCCACACUUUAGUCCAGAAUCCAGUUCUGUAUGUAUGCACACAGCCAGUCCUAAUUCACCCCUUCUUCUUGGACUCUAACCCGCUAAUGUCUGCAGAUAUGUAAGGUGGAAGCAAUAUGGUGGAAGCUUCACCACUACACUGCUUAUACCUAUCCAUACACUACAGCUCUGCUAACGUUAAAGGGUUGGGUCCAAGGGGGAGGGGUAGGGAGCGAAUUGGGGCCAGCUGACCCAGUUGGCGUGUGUUGUUGAUGUUACGGACUACCUGUCUGCUGAGAUCUCCGCCCCCAAGCAGAAGAAGUUCAUCCUGGUGACGUUCGUGGACAUUCCGGGCCUGUUGAACGGGGACAUGGCCUCCCUUUGAUGUCAGCUGCGCUAUAACCUCAUUUGGGGAGCAGGCGGACCUGGUUUUGUGUUCUUCGACCCCAUGGGCCAGGCGCUGUGCAAGCGCACGCUCAACAUCGUGAAGAAACUUAGCGAUAAGAUUGCGGACAAGCUGCGUUUCUACCUCAGCAAAGCAGACGAAGCCGGGAGGGAGAUGAACAGACAGGUAGGCCAGUUGAGAACAAGUUCUCAUUUACAACUGCAACCAGGCCAAGAUAAAGCAAAGCAGUGUGACAAAAACAACAACACAGAGUUACACAUGGGAUAAACAAAUGUACAGUCAAUAACACAAUAGAAAAAUCUGAAUACAGUGUGUGCAAAUUAAGUAAGGAGGUAAGGCAAUAAAUAGGCCAAUAGUGGCGAAGUAAUUACAGGCUUGUCUUGUGUGGCUUAGUCAUAAGACUGGGCUUACAGCUAAGAGCCAUUUGGGUGCGACCGCAGCAUGUGACAUCCCAUGGGUUUACUAUCUACAGGAAGUCACAUGUAUGGAAACUUGCAGAAAGGAGCACAUGAUAUUGUUUUCUGUUGUGAAUACAGUUAGACGGUUGAGCCCUCUGGCUAUCAACUUCAUGCUAUCUUAAAUCUGCACAGACAACUAAUUGCCUUUUACACACUAUCUGCUGACUGGCACGUAUACAAAAAGGAUGUACUUCUCUAUAAAAGCUGAGAACCGACACUGUUCGUUGGGCCUGAACUGCCCAACUGUUGAAGUGCAUAGUUAACUGCUCAAAUUUUUGCUAAUCUUAUAAUAAAGUGUUGUUUGAAAGAAUCUGCAACCUCUCUUCCUUUUGGUUAGAAUUUCCACAACAAUUGGCGACGAGGAUGGGAUGCUAACUCCGCUUACUGAUCGUUCCCGAGGAGACCGAGGUUAAUUGCGCACAGUAGAUGCGGCUCAGGGUAACCACACUCAGAUUAAGCACAGCAGAAAGGGACCCGCCUCGGACUGGCAGGGAGCGUCAGUGAGUGGAUACAGUGGUUCCUCCUUUAAAAGUUGCGAGCUUAUACCGCGUGACUUAGAGGUACCCAGCAUCAUGGCGUCAUUGCUCCAGACCACCACAAGGGGGAGUUACAGCACUCAUUAUGCAUUUGGGUCCCAAUGUUUUUAUAUGACCAAUCAUAUAGAGUGGUUCCAAUGACG